RNAcentral lists this ribosomal RNA (1413 nucleotides) under Pediococcus pentosaceus. RNAcentral's name for it is "bacterial SSU rRNA". It matches the Rfam family "Bacterial small subunit ribosomal RNA". The record is from RNAcentral. Lineage: Bacteria; Bacillati; Bacillota; Bacilli; Lactobacillales; Lactobacillaceae.
GAACGAACUUCCGUUAAUUGAUUAUGACGUACUUGUACUGAUUGAGAUUUUAACACGAAGUGAGUGGCGAACGGGUGAGUAACACGUGGGUAACCUGCCCAGAAGUAGGGGAUAACACCUGGAAACAGAUGCUAAUACCGUAUAACAGAGAAAACCGCAUGGUUUUCUUUUAAAAGAUGGCUCUGCUAUCACUUCUGGAUGGACCCGCGGCGUAUUAGCUAGUUGGUGAGGUAAAGGCUCACCAAGGCAGUGAUACGUAGCCGACCUGAGAGGGUAAUCGGCCACAUUGGGACUGAGACACGGCCCAGACUCCUACGGGAGGCAGCAGUAGGGAAUCUUCCACAAUGGACGCAAGUCUGAUGGAGCAACGCCGCGUGAGUGAAGAAGGGUUUCGGCUCGUAAAGCUCUGUUGUUAAAGAAGAACGUGGGUAAGAGUAACUGUUUACCCAGUGACGGUAUUUAACCAGAAAGCCACGGCUAACUACGUGCCAGCAGCCGCGGUAAUACGUAGGUGGCAAGCGUUAUCCGGAUUUAUUGGGCGUAAAGCGAGCGCAGGCGGUCUUUUAAGUCUAAUGUGAAAGCCUUCGGCUCAACCGAAGAAGUGCAUUGGAAACUGGGAGACUUGAGUGCAGAAGAGGACAGUGGAACUCCAUGUGUAGCGGUGAAAUGCGUAGAUAUAUGGAAGAACACCAGUGGCGAAGGCGGCUGUCUGGUCUGCAACUGACGCUGAGGCUCGAAAGCAUGGGUAGCGAACAGGAUUAGAUACCCUGGUAGUCCAUGCCGUAAACGAUGAUUACUAAGUGUUGGAGGGUUUCCGCCCUUCAGUGCUGCAGCUAACGCAUUAAGUAAUCCGCCUGGGGAGUACGACCGCAAGGUUGAAACUCAAAAGAAUUGACGGGGGCCCGCACAAGCGGUGGAGCAUGUGGUUUAAUUCGAAGCUACGCGAAGAACCUUACCAGGUCUUGACAUCUUCUGACAGUCUAAGAGAUUAGAGGUUCCCUUCGGGGACAGAAUGACAGGUGGUGCAUGGUUGUCGUCAGCUCGUGUCGUGAGAUGUUGGGUUAAGUCCCGCAACGAGCGCAACCCUUAUUACUAGUUGCCAGCAUUAAGUUGGGCACUCUAGUGAGACUGCCGGUGACAAACCGGAGGAAGGUGGGGACGACGUCAAAUCAUCAUGCCCCUUAUGACCUGGGCUACACACGUGCUACAAUGGAUGGUACAACGAGUCGCGAGACCGCGAGGUUAAGCUAAUCUCUUAAAACCAUUCUCAGUUCGGACUGUAGGCUGCAACUCGCCUACACGAAGUCGGAAUCGCUAGUAAUCGCGGAUCAGCAUGCCGCGGUGAAUACGUUCCCGGGCCUUGUACACACCGCCCGUCACACCAUGAGAGUUUGUAACACCCAAAGCCGGUGG